AACCUANCGGUACUCGCGAAUGCAUCNUAGAUUAUUUAUUGAUCAUGGCUCAGAUUGACCGCUGGCGGCAGGCCUAACACAUGCAAGUCGAGCGGAUGACGGGAGCUUGCUCCUUGAUUCAGCGGCGGACGGGUGAGUAAUGCCUAGGAAUCUGCCUGGUAGUGGGGGGACAACGUUUACUGAAAGGAACGCUAAUAACCGCAUAACGUACCUACGGGAGAAAGCAGUGGG
RNAcentral lists this ribosomal RNA (231 nucleotides) under uncultured bacterium. Its description in RNAcentral is "partial 16S ribosomal RNA". The stretch from base 31 to 231 matches the Rfam family "Bacterial small subunit ribosomal RNA", at positions 1 to 198 of the family's 1533-position model. The record is from RNAcentral.